RNAcentral lists this ribosomal RNA (474 nucleotides) under uncultured bacterium. RNAcentral's name for it is "partial 16S ribosomal RNA". It matches the Rfam family "Bacterial small subunit ribosomal RNA", at positions 28 to 507 of the family's 1533-position model. The record is from RNAcentral.
GAUGAACGCUAGCGGCAGGCCUAACACAUGCAAGUCGAGGGAGGAGCUUUCGGGCUUCGACCGGCGUACGGGUGCGUAACGCGUAUACAAUCUGCCUUUCACAUAGGGAUAGCCCGAAGAAAUUUGGAUUAAUACCUAAUGGUAUAUAGGAGUGGCAUCACCUUUAUAUUAAAGCUGAGGCGGUGAAAGAUGAGUAUGCGUUCUAUUAGCUAGUUGGAGAGGUAACGGCUCCCCAAGGCGACGAUAGAUAGGGGUUCUGAGAGGGAUAUCCCCCACACUGGUACUGAGAUACGGACCAGACUCCUACGGGAGGCAGCAGUGAGGAAUAUUGGACAAUGGUCGGAAGACUGAUCCAGCCAUGCCGCGUGCAGGAAGACGGCCUUAUGGGUUGUAAACUGCUUUUGCAGGGGAAGAAUAAGGUGUACGUGUACUUUGAUGACGGUACUCUGCGAAUAAGCAUCGGCUAACUCCGUG